UAGAGUUUGAUCCUGGCUCAGAACGAACGUUUGCGGCGUAGUUAAGGCAUGCAAGUCGAACGAGAACGGGUUUCUUCGGAUUCCCUAGUAAAGUGGCGAAAGGGUGAGUAUCACCUGGACAAUCUAUCCGCAGCAGGGGGACAACCAGUCGAAAGGCUGGCUAAUACCCCGUAAGACCACAGAGGGGCAUCCCUCAGAGGUCAAAGGUGGGGUCUUUCGGGACCUGCCGGCUGCGGAGGAGUUCAGGCCCUAUCAGCUUGUUGGUGAGGUAAUGGCUCACCAAGGCUGCGACGGGUAGCCGGCCUCAGAGGGUGACCGGCCACAUCGGGACUGAGACACUGCCCGGACUCCUACGGGAGGCUGCAGUUUGGAAUAUUCCGCAAUGCGCGAAAGCGUGACGGAGUGACGCCGCGUGAGGGAUGAAGGCCUUCGGGUUGUAAACCUCUUUCGCCUGUUAAGAAGUCGGCUUGAACUAAUACUUCAGGUCGUUGACAAAGGCAGGUAAAGAAGCACCGGCUAAAUCCGUGCCAGCAGCCGCGGUAAUACGGAUGGUGCCAACGUUGUUCGGUGUCAUUGGGCUUAAAGGGUGCGUAGGCGGCUGAGUAAGUCAGGUGUGAAAUCCCUCGGCUUAACCGAGGAAUUGCGCUUGAUACUGCUCGGCUUGAGGACCAAAGGGGAGAGCGGAACUCCAGGUGUAGCGGUAAAAUGCGUAGAUAUCUGGGGGAACGCCGAAGGCGAAGGCAGCUCUCUGGGUGGUUCCUGACGCUGAGUGCACGAAAGCUGGGGGAGCAAACAGGAUUAGAUACCCUGGUAGUCCCAGCCCUAAACGAUGGGCACUACGUAGAGGCCGGGCUGAACCGGUCUCUGCCGAAGCUAAAGCAUUAAGUGCCCCGCCUGGGAG
RNAcentral lists this ribosomal RNA (901 nucleotides) under uncultured bacterium. RNAcentral's name for it is "bacterial SSU rRNA". It matches the Rfam family "Bacterial small subunit ribosomal RNA", at positions 9 to 873 of the family's 1533-position model. The record is from RNAcentral.